CUGGAAAUUGCGCAGCGUCUGCGCCGUCGUGCCCUGCUGCGCCGACGCCGUGAAACGCGCGUGAUAUUCGUCGCGAUACGUCACGAGCGAAUUCAGCUGCACCUCGACGUCGUUACGUUCCUGCUGGAGCUUGCCCAGCUUCUUGGU
This 147-nucleotide transfer RNA is filed under the name Candidatus Burkholderia humilis. RNAcentral's name for it is "tRNA-Ser". The record is from RNAcentral. Lineage: Bacteria; Pseudomonadati; Pseudomonadota; Betaproteobacteria; Burkholderiales; Burkholderiaceae.